AGAGUUUGAUCCUGGCUCAGGAUGAACGCUAGCGACAGGCUUAACACAUGCAAGUCGAGGGGCAGCGGUGGUGAAGGCUUGCCUUUACCAGCCGGCGACCGGCGCACGGGUGAGUAACACGUAUGCAACCUGCCUGCCACAGCCGGAUAAUCGGGAGAAAUUCCGUCUAAUACGGCAUAAUGCACCUAUGGGACAUCCUGUUGGUGCCAAAGGUUGAUUCCGGUGGCGGAUGGGCAUGCGUCGCAUUAGUUAGUUGGCGGUGUAACGGACCACCAAGACGACGAUGCGUAGGGGUUCUGAGAGGAAGGUCCCCCACACUGGUACUGAGACACGGACCAGACUCCUACGGGAGGCAGCAGUGAGGAAUAUUGGUCAAUGGGCGGGAGCCUGAACCAGCCAAGUCGCGUGAGGGAUGACGGCCCUAUGGGUUGUAAACCUCUUUUGCCGGGGAGCAAAGUGCCGCACGUGUGCGGUUUGGAGAGUACCCGGAGAAAAAGCAUCGGCUAACUCCGUGCCAGCAGCCGCGGUAAUACGGAGGAUGCGAGCGUUAUCCGGAUUUAUUGGGUUUAAAGGGUGCGUAGGCGGACGCUUAAGUCAGCGGUAAAAUUGCGGGGCUCAACCUCGUCGAGCCGUUGAAACUGGGUGCCUUGAGUGGGCGAGAAGUACGCGGAAUGCGUGGUGUAGCGGUGAAAUGCAUAGAUAUCGCGCAGAACUCCGAUUGCGAAGGCAGCAUGCCGGCUCCACACUGACGCUGAGGCACGAAAGCGUGGGUAUCGAACAGGAUUAGAUACCCUGGUAGUCCACGCAGUAAACGAUGAAUGCUGGCUGUCCGGGGGGACUGACCCCUGGGUGGCGAAGCGAAAGCGAUAAGCAUUCCACCUGGGGAGUACGCCGGCAACGGUGAAACUCAAAGGAAUUGACGGGGGCCCGCACAAGCGGAGGAACAUGUGGUUUAAUUCGAUGAUACGCGAGGAACCUUACCCGGGCUCAAACGGGGAGUGGCGCAGGCAGAGACGCCUGUUUCCCACGGGACACUCCCCGAGGUGCUGCAUGGUUGUCGUCAGCUCGUGCCGUGAGGUGUCGGCUUAAGUGCCAUAACGAGCGCAACCCCCGCGUGCAGUUGCUAACAGUCAACGCUGAGGACUCUGCACGGACUGCCGGCGCAAGCCGCGAGGAAGGCGGGGAUGACGUCAAAUCAGCACGGCCCUUACGUCCGGGGCGACACACGUGUUACAAUGGGUGGUACAGCGGGAAGCCAGGCGGCGACGCCGAGCGGAACCCGAAAUCCACUCUCAGUUCGGAUCGGAGUCUGCAACCCGACUCCGUGAAGCUGGAUUCGCUAGUAAUCGCGCAUCAGCCAUGGCGCGGUGAAUACGAACCCGGGCCUUGUACACACCGCCCGUCAAG
RNAcentral lists this ribosomal RNA (1407 nucleotides) under uncultured bacterium. RNAcentral describes it as "bacterial SSU rRNA". It matches the Rfam family "Bacterial small subunit ribosomal RNA". The record is from RNAcentral.